AGUGAACGCUGGCGGUAGGCCUAACACAUGCAAGUCGAACGGCAGCACAGUAAGAGCUUGCUCUUACGGGUGGCGAGUGGCGGACGGGUGAGGAAUACAUCGGAAUCUACUUUUUCGUGGGGGAUAACGUAGGGAAACUUACGCUAAUACAGCAUACGACCUACGGGUGAAAGCAGGGGAUCUUCGGACCUUGCGCGAUUGAAUGAGACGAUGUCGGAUUAGCUAGUUGGCGGGGUAAAGGCCCACCAAGGCGACGAUCCGUAGCUGGUCUGAGAGGAUGAUCAGCCACACUGGAACUGAGACACGGUCCAGACUCCUACGGGAGGCAGCAGUGGGGAAUAUUGGACAAUGGGCGCAAGCCUGAUCCAGCCAUACCGCGUGGGUGAAGAAGGCCUUCGGGUUGUAAAGCCCUUUUGUUGGGAAAGAAAAGCAGCAGGUUAAUACCCCGCUGUUCUGACGGUACCCAAAGAAUAAGCACCGGCUAACUUCGUG
This 492-nucleotide ribosomal RNA is filed under the name uncultured bacterium. RNAcentral's name for it is "partial 16S ribosomal RNA". It matches the Rfam family "Bacterial small subunit ribosomal RNA", at positions 29 to 507 of the family's 1533-position model. The record is from RNAcentral.